Molecule: ribosomal RNA, 465 nt
Filed under: Vreelandella stevensii
Lineage: Bacteria; Pseudomonadati; Pseudomonadota; Gammaproteobacteria; Oceanospirillales; Halomonadaceae
Description: partial 16S ribosomal RNA
Rfam family: Bacterial small subunit ribosomal RNA
Source: RNAcentral
CCUACGGGUGGCUGCAGUGGGGAAUAUUGGACAAUGGGCGAAAGCCUGAUCCAGCCAUGCCGCGUGUGUGAAGAAGGCCUUCGGGUUGUAAAGCACUUUCAGUGGGGAAGAAAGCCUUGGGGCUAAUACCCUCGAGGAAGGACAUCACCAACAGAAGAAGCACCGGCUAACUCCGUGCCAGCAGCCGCGGUAAUACGGAGGGUGCGAGCGUUAAUCGGAAUUACUGGGCGUAAAGCGCGCGUAGGCGGUCUGAUAAGCCGGUUGUGAAAGCCCCGGGCUCAACCUGGGAACGGCAUCCGGAACUGUCAGGCUAGAGUGCAGGAGAGGAAGGUAGAAUUCCCGGUGUAGCAGUGAAAUGCGUAGAGAUCGGGAGGAAUACCAGUGGCGAAGGCGGCCUUCUGGACUGACACUGACGCUGAGGUGCGAAAGCGUGGGUAGCAAACAGGAUUAGAUACCCGGGUAGUC